AUUGAACGCUGGCGGAAUGCUUUACACAUGCAAGUCGAACGGCAGCACGGACUUCGGUCUGGUGGCGAGUGGCGAACGGGUGAGUAAUGUAUCGGAACGUGCCCAGUCGUGGGGGAUAACGCAGUGAAAAUUACGCUAAUACCGCAUACGAUCUAUGGAUGAAAGCGGGGGAUCGCAAGACCUCGCGCGAUUGGAGCGGCCGAUAUCAGAUUAGGUAGUUGGUGGGGUAAAGGCCCACCAAGCCAACGAUCUGUAGCUGGUCUGAGAGGACGACCAGCCACACUGGAACUGAGACACGGUCCAGACUCCUACGGGAGGCAGCAGUGGGGAAUUUUGGGUAAUGGGCGAAAGCCUGAUCCAGCCAUUCCGCGUGCAGGAUGAAGGCCCUCGGGUUGUAAACUGCUUUUGUACAGAACGAAAAGGUUUCUACUAAUACUAGGAGCUCAUGACGGUACUGUAAGAAUAAGCACCGGCUAACUACGUGCCAGCCGCCGCGGUAA
This 500-nucleotide ribosomal RNA is filed under the name uncultured bacterium. Its description in RNAcentral is "partial 16S ribosomal RNA". It matches the Rfam family "Bacterial small subunit ribosomal RNA", at positions 30 to 523 of the family's 1533-position model. The record is from RNAcentral.